UUAACGAUUUGUACAAGUACUCAGACGACGCCAAUGAUACAAGGUUCGUGGGGUCCUCUGGCAGGCGCGCACCAGCCGAGGCCGGUGGCUCUCCGAGUCGGCCUGCCAAAGCAACGAUAGUAUGAUAAGCAAGGGUGGAGGUCUACCCCGGGGGGCACGAACUCUGUAAUGAUCCUUCCGCAGGUUCACCUACGGAAA
RNAcentral lists this unclassified non-coding RNA (198 nucleotides) under uncultured fungus. RNAcentral's name for it is "sequence contains ITS1". Lineage: Eukaryota; Fungi. The record is from RNAcentral.